CUUCCGUAGGGGAACCUGCGGAAGGAUCAUGUACCGAGUUUUCGAGCUCCGGCUCGACUCUCCCACACCUUUGUGAACGUACCUCUGUUGCUUUGGCGGCUCCGGCCGCCAAAGGACCUUCAAACUCCAGUCAGUAAACGCAGACGUCUGAUAAACAAGUUAAUAAACUAAAACUUUCAACAACGGAUCUCUUGGUUCUGGCAUCGAUGAAGAACGCAGCGAAAUGCGAUAAGUAAUGUGAAUUGCAGAAUUCAGUGAAUCAUCGAAUCUUUGAACGCACAUUGCGCCCCUUGGUAUUCCGGGGGGCAUGCCUGUUCGAGCGUCAUUACAACCCUCAAGCUCUGCUUGGAAUUGGGCACCGUCCUCACUGCGGACGCGCCUCAAAGACCUCGGCGGUGGCUGUUCAGCCCUCAAGCGUAGUAGAAUACACCUCGCUUUGGAGCGGUUGGCGUCGCCCGCCGGACGAACCUUCUGAACUUUUCUCAAGGUUGACCUCGGAUCAGGUAGGGAUACCCGCUGAACUUAAGCAUAUCAAAAGGCGGAGGAA
This 547-nucleotide ribosomal RNA is filed under the name Lasiodiplodia theobromae. RNAcentral describes it as "eukaryotic LSU rRNA". The stretch from base 172 to 325 matches the Rfam family "5.8S ribosomal RNA". The record is from RNAcentral. Lineage: Eukaryota; Fungi; Ascomycota; Dothideomycetes; Botryosphaeriales; Botryosphaeriaceae.